Molecule: transfer RNA, 71 nt
Filed under: Stegodyphus mimosarum
Lineage: Eukaryota; Metazoa; Arthropoda; Arachnida; Araneae; Eresidae
Rfam family: tRNA
About the family: Transfer RNA (tRNA) molecules are approximately 80 nucleotides in length. Their secondary structure includes four short double-helical elements and three loops (D, anti-codon, and T loops).
Source: Rfam by way of RNAcentral
GCCCUUAUGGUGUAAAGUUAACACACUCGGCACGUAUUCCAGAAAUCUAGGUUCGAGUCCCAGUGAAGGCA